UUUGUAAUUUUGAAGUUUAAAAGGAUAUUAGAUGGAUUUCUAAUUUUUGAGAGGAGAAAUGCUUUUUAGCAAAAAUGUAUUCAUAUUGGGUAUAAUUUUUUUAAAAGAUUUUACGUUUUACAUAAUGAACUGAAACAUCUUAGUAAUUAUAGGAAUAAAAAUCAAUUGAGAUUCUGUUAGUAAUGGAGAGUGAACAUGGAAUUGGGUAUUAACUUUAUCAUACAAAAUAGAAACUUUAAUAAGUGUUGGAAAACAUAGCCAAGGGAGGUAAUAGCCCUCAUAUGUAUUGUUUAAGUUAAUUUUUUAGUAAAUCGAAAUACGUGUAGUUUUGAUUGAAUAUAGGAGGCCCAUCUUCUAAACCUAAAUAUUUCUCAAAAAAUUAUAGUGUACAAGUACCAUAAGGGAAAGAUUGAAAGAGAAUAUUGAAAAAAUAAUAGUGAAAUAGAUCUUGAAAUCUAAUAUUUAUAAGCAGUUGAAGCUUUAAGAAGUAACAGCGUACCUUUUGCAUAAUGGGUCAGUAAGUAAAAAAAAUAGCGAGUUUAAAUUUUAAUAAUGGACACAUAAUGAAAAUAACAUAGUUAUUUUUUACCCGAAACCAAGUGAUUUAGUCAAAAACAGGUUGAAGCUGUAGUAACAUUCAGUGGAGGGCCGAACCCGUAUCUGUGGAAAAAGAUUGGGAUGAUUUUUGAUUAGGAGUGAAAGGCUAAUCAAACUUGGAAAUAGCUGGUUUUCUACGAAAUCUAUUUAGGUAGAGCAUAUUUUAUUCUUUUUUGAAGGUAAAGCACUGAAAAAAUAAGGGGAGUCCAAAACUUUACUAAAUUUUUUCAAACUAAUAAUGUUAAAAAAGUUAUAAUAUAGUCAGACUUAGGGUGAUAAGGUCAUAAGUCAAAAGGGAAACAGCCCAAAAUAUUAGUUAAGGCCCCUAAGUAAAUACUAAGUGAAAAAAGGUUAUUAAAAACAUAAACAAUCAUGUAGUAGGCUUAGAAGCAGCCAUCUAUUUAUGACAGCGUAAAAGCUCAUUGAUCAUAGUUUAUUAAUACCGAAAAUGUAACGGGGCUGAAGUAUUUCGCCGAAACUGUAAUAUUAAAUAAUUAAUAAGUAGUAGAACGUUUUAUAAAUCGUAGUUUUUAUUGUUAAAUAAAAAUAAGAUAUUAAAAAUGAGAAUGCUGGCAUGAGUAGCGUAAAACAAAGUGAGAAUCUUUGUCGCCGGAAGUUUGUGGUUUUUUAUGUUAAGUUUAUCUGCAUAAAGUUAGUCGGUUUCUAAAAAAUUUAGUUUUUACUAAAUCUUGAUGAUUAAAUUUGAUCGCAUUAUAAGUGACAUUUAUUGUAUUAAGGUAUCUUAAUUGAAAUUUGCGAUAUUAAAAAUACAAUAGAUCUGGAAAUAACUAUAAUGGAAAGCACCGUACUUUUACCGACACAGGAAGACUAGUGUAAAUGCACUAAGGCGUUUGAGAGAACUUUUUUGAAGGAACUCGGCAAAUUUGCUCUGUAACUUCGGGAGAAAGAGUGCUUAUUUAAUAAGUAGCAUAAAAUUGGAGGUAGCGACUGUUUAAUAAAAACACAGGACUCUGCAAAAUUGUAAAAUGAUGUAUAGGGUCUGACACCUGCCCGGUGCUAGUAAGUUAAUUGGAUAUGUUUUUGCAUUGAAAAGAAGCUCUAGUAAACGGCGGCCGUAACCAUAACGGUCCUAAGGUAGCGAAAUUCCUUGACGAGUAAGUUUCGUCCUGCAUGAAUGGUGUAACGACUUCCUCACUGUCUCCAAAAAAGACUCAGCGAAAUUGAAUUUUCCGUGAAGAUGCGGAAUAUUGGCGGUUAGACGGAAAGACCCCGUGCACCUUUACUAUAUUUUUAUAUUGUUUGGGAAAAUAUUUUGUGUAGAAUAGGUGGGAAUUUAUUAGAUCUUAACGCAAGUUAAUAGUUUAAAUAACAAUGAAAUACCACUCUUACUUUUUUUUUAAACUAACUUUUUAAAGAAAGGACCAUGUAUGAUUGAUAGUUUGACUGGGGCGGUCGCCUCCUAAAGAGUAACGGAGGCGCACGAAGGUAAGUUCACAUUGAUUUGAACUCAAUGGUAGAGUGUAAUGGCAUAAACUUACUUGAUUAUUAAAUUAACCAAUUUAGUAAAGAUUUAUAUUUUAAGUCUGUCAUAAUGAUCCGAUAAUACUGUAUGGAAAGAUUAUCGCACAACGGAUAAAAGGUACGCCGGGGAUAACAGGCUAAUGACUCUCUAGAGUUCAUAUCGACGGAGUCGUUUGGCACCUCGAUGUCGGCUCAUCACAUCCUGGAGUUGCAAAAGAUUCCAAAGGUUCGGCUGUUCGCCGAUUAAAGUGGUACGUGAGCUGGGUUUAAAACGUCGUGAGACAGUUUGGUCCCUAUCUGCCGUCAGAAUUAUAGAAAAUAAAAAAAACCUGUUUUUAGUACGAGAGGACCAAAGUGGACAAAUCCAUGGUGUAUCGGUUAUUUUUUCUAGUAGUGCCGAGUAGCUACAUUUGGAAUGAUUAAUUACUGAAAGUAUAUAAGUAAAAAAUCUCUUUUAUUAUUUUCUUAAUAUAGUUAAAGAUUAUAACUUAAAUAGGUUAAAAGUGUAGGAAUAGUAAUAUUUUUAGCUUAUUAAUACUAAUUGUUAUCAAAUCUUCAAGUUUAAAA
Molecule: ribosomal RNA, 2646 nt
Filed under: Glaucocystis nostochinearum
Lineage: Eukaryota; Glaucocystophyceae; Glaucocystales; Glaucocystaceae
Description: large subunit ribosomal RNA
Rfam family: Bacterial large subunit ribosomal RNA
Source: RNAcentral